ACCUGGCUGGCUCAGCUGGUGGAGCAUGUGACUCUUGAUCUCAAGAUUGGGAGUCCGAGUCCCAUGUUAGGUG
This 73-nucleotide transfer RNA is filed under the name Canis lupus familiaris (dog). It matches the Rfam family "tRNA". From Rfam's summary of the family: Transfer RNA (tRNA) molecules are approximately 80 nucleotides in length. Their secondary structure includes four short double-helical elements and three loops (D, anti-codon, and T loops). Further hydrogen bonds mediate the characteristic L-shaped molecular structure. tRNAs have two regions of fundamental functional importance: the anti-codon, which is responsible for specific mRNA codon recognition, and the 3' end, to which the tRNAs corresponding amino acid is attached (by aminoacyl-tRNA synthetases). tRNAs cope with the degeneracy of the genetic code in two manners: having more than one tRNA (with a specific anti-codon) for a particular amino acid; and 'wobble' base-pairing, i.e. permitting non-standard base-pairing at the 3rd anti-codon position. Lineage: Eukaryota; Metazoa; Chordata; Mammalia; Carnivora; Canidae. RNAcentral also lists the same sequence under 1 other name. The record is from Rfam by way of RNAcentral.